GACAUAGGUGGCAAACGUUAUCCGGAAUUAUUGGGCGUAAAGCGCACGUAGGCGGCCGACUAAGUCGGGUGUGAAAGCCCUGGGCUCAACCCAGGAAGUGCACUCGAAACUGACCGGCUUGAAUAUGGAAGAGGGUCGCGGAAUUCCCGGUGUAGAGGUGAAAUUCGUAGAAAUCGGGAGGAACACCAGUGGCGAAGGCGGCGACCUGGGCCAAUAUUGACGCUGAGGUGCGAAAGCGUGGGGAGCGAACAGG
This 253-nucleotide ribosomal RNA is filed under the name uncultured bacterium. RNAcentral's name for it is "partial 16S ribosomal RNA". It matches the Rfam family "Bacterial small subunit ribosomal RNA", at positions 524 to 776 of the family's 1533-position model. The record is from RNAcentral.